GGCAAAAAUAAACACCCUCAUGUUUCCUUCUCUGGUCUAGACUUCUGGAAGUCCCAUCACUCUCCUGCAACCCACAGACAAGGGAACAACAUCCAGAGUCUCAAAAUUGUGAACAGAAUUAAUCUGAAGUUCAAACACACACUGUCUUCAGCUUUAUUUUUCCGCCCAAAAGACUGAAUACAAUUUAGAGUUGGUAACCAAGGGAAAUUAAGGGACAUCUCUCCCCCUGGCUCUCGGGGGGACACGGCCUUAACACCCAAAAUGUGGCGCGGCCUGUGUCAGCGCGGUGCCAGGAAGGCGCGCAGGACAGGAGCGAGGAGGGAACAGCCUGCACCGCGCCUGCGCAGCAGACCCGGAGGGGGCGCCCUCUCCCUCCGCAGCCCAGGUUGCCUCGCCCUUCCCUCUCCAGAGCCGCUCCUCCCCUGGGGCUCACCCUGACACACGAGCAGGACGCAGUAGAAAGCCAUGAACCACUGAAUGCUGUUGAAACGCUGGCAGAAGGGGAUCACGAGGCAGCCCAGGCCGCACCUGUCCCCCGCGGAGCCGGCGGACUGCUUCCCCGGCGCCUUCUUGAGCGCGGAGAGCUUGGCCUUCUUCCUCUUUGUGGCCCGGGUGAACCUGAGCAUGGCUUUCGGGAGCACCGUGAGAUCAUUUCACUCGAUACAAACUGAGAUUUGGUGACGCACCAAAGACCAGAAGUGGAAAAGAUACCAACAACCCAAAUAAAAUUUGGAAGAGCAAUAGAGAUGAGGAAAGAAAAAAUAGUUCA
RNAcentral lists this long non-coding RNA (769 nucleotides) under Chinchilla lanigera (long-tailed chinchilla). RNAcentral describes it as "lncRNA (ENSCLAG00000022509.1)". The record is from RNAcentral. Lineage: Eukaryota; Metazoa; Chordata; Mammalia; Rodentia; Chinchillidae.